UGUAGCUCAAUGGUAGAGUUCUGGCCUUCCAAGCCAGCUGUGAGGGUUCGAUCCCCUUCACCAGCUCCA
RNAcentral lists this transfer RNA (69 nucleotides) under Clostridioides difficile DA00232. RNAcentral's name for it is "partial tRNA-Gly". It matches the Rfam family "tRNA". Rfam says of the family: Transfer RNA (tRNA) molecules are approximately 80 nucleotides in length. The record is from RNAcentral. Lineage: Bacteria; Bacillati; Bacillota; Clostridia; Peptostreptococcales; Peptostreptococcaceae.